This 154-nucleotide small RNA is filed under the name Kitasatospora setae. Its description in RNAcentral is "c-di-AMP sequence". It matches the Rfam family "c-di-AMP riboswitch aptamer (ydaO/yuaA leader)". From Rfam's summary of the family: This family represents a conserved RNA structure found upstream of the ydaO and yuaA genes in Bacillus subtilis and related genes in other bacteria. The ydaO/yuaA element is thought to act as a genetic "off" switch for the ydaO and yuaA genes in its native state. Lineage: Bacteria; Bacillati; Actinomycetota; Actinomycetes; Kitasatosporales; Streptomycetaceae. The record is from RNAcentral.
GCGGGGGUGCUGUCGAACGGAGCCGGGGAACCACGUUCCCCCGGGGUGAAUCGGCGCCAGGUCGGCCGCCGCGCGCGGCCGGUGAGGCGUCGUAGGGCAAUCUCUUCCAGCCCGAACCCGUCAGCUCACCCGGUAGGCGGUCGAGGAAGAAGGA